GAAACAUCAGCAGUUUCUCCUAAGAAAAACGUUCCCUUCCUUGGAUUGACUUAGUACAGAACAGCUGGGGAGACAGAUCACUUACCAUGCAUUGCUCUGAGCUUUCUCCUUCCCUGCUCAGAUGAGGGAAGAUGCUGGAUUUGUGCCUCUGAACCUGCAACUUUGUGACAACUAUGAAGCCUCCAGAGGAGAAGAAACUCCUGAAUGAAGCAGACCUCAGAUGUGAUGAAGUGGACCCCAUAUGUGAGGAUGUUAACAGAGCCUGUGGAAUGCCAUACCAAAUCCCAAUGUACCUGUAUUGACACAGUUACAUUGUGGUCCAGGGUAGAGGUUCAGAAUCCAUCACAAAUUCAGAACAUGGCUACUAUAAUGCAGAGAUGUUUGUUUUCUCCUGGGUGAAAUCCUAGACCAGUGACCUGUGCUCAGACUGAGUAAGAUGCCAACUGCCGCUCCAGAGCUGAGAUUUCUCUCCCCACAGAUGAUGUCACAAUAAAAACACCUGAAUAUUCCAGAAAUGUUCUAUGCUA
This is a non-coding RNA of Ictidomys tridecemlineatus (thirteen-lined ground squirrel), 527 nucleotides long. The record is from RefSeq and is a predicted model, not a curated record. Lineage: Eukaryota; Metazoa; Chordata; Mammalia; Rodentia; Sciuridae.